AUUGAAUCCCUUCCAGAGCUGAAUAUGGAAGGCUAGGUGGGAACUUGAAGUAGUCUGACAUAUAAACAACAUCUCUGUCUGUGUUAAAAAUCUCUAGAUAUUCAUUUUCCUUUGAGUUUCUAUUUUCUACAGUCAGAUACUAUGCAUAAAUCCUGAAUAUGAUAUGCAGGUAAUAUCUAAAACAUCUUUGCAUGAGAGGGAUUGAGUAACCAAUGAGUGCUAUUUUGCUGCUUAUAGAAUCAGUGGAAUUAUGGUAGCUUCAUACAAGUUCAAUCAUAUUUUUUUCUCAUGUAUAAUUCACUAUAUAUUUGAAAAGUUUCUUUCCCUCAAUAUAUUUACAAGUUUCAAGGUUGACCUCCCUUUGCAUAAAAUUCUGAAUAUACUUAUGUACUAUAUAACUAAUAUAACUUCGCAUGACAAGGAUUGAGUGAACAACAAACACUACUGCUCUAACUUUUGAUUGCACCAUAACAUCUAUAAUCAGUGGAAUUAUGAUAGCCCCAGAUAUAAGUCUAAUCUUCUUUUUUUUUUAUAGAAGGAAAAACUAUACUGCAGAAUAUAUUUUUAAAAAAUUUCUUUUUCCUUAAUAUGUUUAGUUUAAAAUUGUCCUCCAUUAAUUACUUCUUUUAAUAAGUUGGCUAUGACUGUAAGCCUAGGAGGUGCAGUAGGAGGUAUGCCCUUUGAUGGUAUGCAAAAAGUCCUUAUAAAAAAACAUGAACCUGUUUUUCAUGUGAAACUUACCUUGUCUUACUUGGUCAUGGUUCAUAUCACUUGAUAGUGUCUUCCAUACUUGCUGAUAUUCAUACACAACAGCUAUAUCAUAUGUAGGCCUAGUAUUUUAUUUUAUGUUACUCUAGUUGUGUCUCAAGAUGGCAUGGUUUUGUGAUUUAGAAAACCUCUCUCUAGUAACAUAUGUGGAAUUAUAUAUUCUGGAAACAAGGAAAAGUGAAAAAAAAAUUUAUAGCAUAAUGAUUAGAAAUUUCUGAUAACAAAGGUGGGAGAGGAGAAAGUGAAGGAAAGAGAAGGAUAGUUUGGAAAGCAAUAAAGAAUGAAGAACAUGACAGAAUAAAAGGUAGAAUAUUUGGCAUUUGUUAGAGAACUGGGUGUUCUAUCAGGAUAUCAGCAACUUCUUUGUGAAAUUCACAUUAAAUUCUUCUUUCUCAGCUAGUGGAUAUUAAUAGUUCGAAACUUAAGUGUUGCUUGAUUUGACAAUUUUCAUUAUUAGCAUGGAGAAAUCACAUUCAACCAACCUUAAAUGCAUAAUAUCAAAUGCGGAGAGUGCCAUUACCACUUCAAGUGCAAGAAGCAAUUCUAACGUCACUGCUAUGUUAUGCAGCUGAACUCCGUUUUACAUUCUUAAUUUAUGUUACACAUUAUGCAUUACAUCCAUGCGAAGCAGUGGUUUCAAAUAUUGUUUGUAAAUGCCAGUAGAUUUUCUUUUUUUUUGAAAAGAUUGCCAGCGACAGUGUAUCGAUAUAUCCAAAAGCUCUCUAAAAAAACAGUAUUACUUUUCUAGAUAAGAAAGAAAAUAGAAUGUAAGAAGAAAGGGAGCAAAAGGGAGCGGGUGUUUGAAGAAGAAAGAAAAGAAAUGGUUUUAUUGAAAAAAAUGAAAGAAAAAAAGGAGGAAAAAGAAGCAUGCGGUAAAAGGAAAAAAGAGUAAAAAGGGUUUUCUCAGAAAAAAAAAUAAAACAAAGGGAAAAAAGGGAGGAUGAGGAGAGUACCAUUAGCACUACCACUACCACUACAACGCAUAAGAAGAAGUUCGAGCGUACCAUCACUAAGUAAGUGGAAAUUCCCCGUAGACCGUGUGUUACCGGCUCUUUUAUUCAGCUAAACUGAGUUUUCUUUAUUCUUAAUUUAUGUUAACCAUUAUGCAUUUCACCUGCUGAAACUAAGAUGCGAAGCCGGGCAUCUCAAUCUCUGACUCUUUGUUGUAUGUGCUUCCAAUAUUGUUUGCAAAUAUUAUUAAAUCAUUUUGAGAGACUGUGAGUGCCAGUAUCAGUACAUCCAAACCGCUCACAAGAUUGCAUUACUUAUCUAGCAAAAAAUAGGGAGCAAAAAAGGAUCCUGUGGUAAAAGGAGGGGGAACAACAACAAGAAGAAGUUCUGACAAUAAUUUUGAUCUUGGUUUAUUUUUUGAGAACCACGAGAGUUGUUUUUCAGAGAACUGUGAUAGGUGAAAGUUCUGGCUUAUCUUAGUUGAUGAUCUGUGCUACAUCUGUUUAUAGUACUCAAUGAUCUGUGAGCUGGUGCUUAAAUUUUCCUUUUUCUUGUCAAUCUCCAGUUUGACACCAUGAGAGUGCUAUCUAUUAUAGGAUGCUACCGCCAAAGGUCUUCAGAACAUCAAAAUUGGAGGAAGCACAUGAGGACAGUUUGGGCAAUAUCCAAAUUUCUAUCUGAUCACGGCAGCACAACCUGCAGAUUCGAAGCCAAAGCAAGCACAUCAUAGUUGAGUAAGGAGAUUACGAGUUGGGACCUUGAUACUCUAUCAGAGACAGCAAGCUGGAAAUUUUAUGCACCUGCAAAGGGUGGAAACUGAAACUGGAACCAUAUUUUGGACCUUAGUCAUCAAAGCCAUGAUAUGGCCAUGCUGGUGCUGAUCUCUUUAUGCUGAGAAGUUGGAGUACUCUGUCAAUUUCAUCCAUUAUUAUAUUCAUUUCUUUCCUUUUAUACAUUAUGUAACUAUUUUGUUACUUGAUUAUUCUUGGAGAAUUGAACUCUUAUAUUCUUCUUUAUAUGUGUGGUUUUCCUUCUAACAAUUUAGCUAGGCGUAUUCAAGUCUUCUUGAAGUGGAAGGAGAAGAAAUACGUAUAAAGCGAAGAGAAAUAAAAUGAUUCUUUUGGUUUUAGAGAGGCUGGCUGAAAGAAAGACACAAAAGUUUUAGAGGUUAUUGGUGGCAAGUCCUAUCCAAGGCAAGAUGGCAUGAAAGACGGACAUUUGAGCACUAUUAUAAUCUGUUGCUGCUGGAAACAAUCUGCCCAUACCUUGGAGCUGACCAGAGUGUUAGAGAGGUUGAUGAGAUGUUGUGUGGAUUUAAGAGUGUUGGCCAGAGAUCCCCAAGUAUCUCCCUAAUCGGUGGAUGAUGGUUGUCAGGACUUGGAUAUGAUCGCCGCUGGGCCGAUCAUAUCUGAGUGUUGAUAGAGAUAAGGAGAUCGCAAUCGGACCUUUCCUCCAAUGCUGAGUCUAAUUCCGAAACACUAUAGAUGAGGCAAUUCUCUUACUGAAGAGUAUGAUCGGACCUUCUAAGAUUCAAAAUAUUUUCUGUAUUUUGCACACUACAAGUUGAUGCAACAUUCCAAUUAGACUUC
Molecule: long non-coding RNA, 3308 nt
Organism: Elaeis guineensis (African oil palm)
Lineage: Eukaryota; Viridiplantae; Streptophyta; Magnoliopsida; Arecales; Arecaceae
Source: RefSeq, a predicted model, not a curated record